UACGUAGGGUGCGAGCGUUAAUCGGAAUUACUGGGCGUAAAGCGUGCGCAGGCGGUUCGCCAAGUCAGGUGUGAAAUCCCCGGGCUUAACCUAGGAAUUGCGCUUGAAACUAGCGGGCUUGAGUGUGGCAGAGGGGGGUGGAAUUCCACGUGUAGCAGUGAAAUGCGUAGAGAUGUGGAGGAACACCGAUGGCGAAGGCAGCCCCCUGGGUCAACACUGACGCUCAUGCACGAAAGCGUGGGGAGCAAACAGG
RNAcentral lists this ribosomal RNA (253 nucleotides) under uncultured bacterium. RNAcentral's name for it is "partial 16S ribosomal RNA". It matches the Rfam family "Bacterial small subunit ribosomal RNA", at positions 524 to 776 of the family's 1533-position model. The record is from RNAcentral.